AGUAACGCGUGGGUAACCUGCCCUUAAGUCUGGGAUACCAUUUGGAAACAGAUGCUAAUACCGGAUAAAAGCUACUUUCGCAUGAAAGAAGUUUAAAAGGCGGCGUAAGCUGUCGCUAAAGGAUGGACCUGCGAUGCAUUAGCUAGUUUGUAAGGUAACGGCUUACCAAGGCGAUGAUGCAUAGCCGAGUUGAGAGACUGAUCGGCCACAUUGGGACUGAGACACGGCCCAAACUCCUACGGGAUGCAGCAGAC
This 254-nucleotide ribosomal RNA is filed under the name uncultured Lactobacillus sp. RNAcentral's name for it is "partial 16S ribosomal RNA". It matches the Rfam family "Bacterial small subunit ribosomal RNA", at positions 109 to 354 of the family's 1533-position model. Lineage: Bacteria; Bacillati; Bacillota; Bacilli; Lactobacillales; Lactobacillaceae. The record is from RNAcentral.